UACAGAGGUGGCAAGCGUUGUUCGGAAUUACUGGGCGUAAAGGGCGCGUAGGCGGCCUUGUAAGUCCUGUGUGAAAUCCCCCGGCUCAACUGGGGAACUGCACAGGAGACUGCUUGGCUUGAGUUCGGGAGAGGGAAGCGGAAUUCCGGGUGUAGCGGUGAAAUGCGUAGAUAUCGAGAGGAACACCUGCGGCGAAGGCGGGUUGCUGGGCUGACACUGACGCUGAAGCGCGAAAGCUAGGGGAGCGAACGGG
This 253-nucleotide ribosomal RNA is filed under the name uncultured bacterium. RNAcentral describes it as "partial 16S ribosomal RNA". It matches the Rfam family "Bacterial small subunit ribosomal RNA", at positions 524 to 776 of the family's 1533-position model. The record is from RNAcentral.